UACGUAGGGUGCAAGCGUUAAUCGGAAUUACUGGGCGUAAAGCGUGCGCAGGCGGUUGUGCAAGACAGAUGUGAAAUCCCCGGGCUCAACCUGGGAACUGCAUUUGUGACUGCAUCGCUGGAGUGCGGCAGAGGGGGAUGGAAUUCCGCGUGUAGCAGUGAAAUGCGUAGAGAAUGUGGAGGAACACCGAUGGCGAAGGCAGCCUUCUGGGCCAACACUGACGCUCAUGCACGAAAGCGUGGGGAGCAAACAGG
RNAcentral lists this ribosomal RNA (254 nucleotides) under uncultured bacterium. Its description in RNAcentral is "partial 16S ribosomal RNA". It matches the Rfam family "Bacterial small subunit ribosomal RNA", at positions 524 to 776 of the family's 1533-position model. The record is from RNAcentral.